This 462-nucleotide ribosomal RNA is filed under the name uncultured bacterium. RNAcentral's name for it is "partial 16S ribosomal RNA". It matches the Rfam family "Bacterial small subunit ribosomal RNA", at positions 28 to 507 of the family's 1533-position model. The record is from RNAcentral.
GACGAACGCUGGCGGCGUGCUUAACACAUGCAAGUCGAACGGAAAGGCCCUUCGGGGUACUCGAGUGGCGCACGGGUGAGUAACACGUGGGUGAUCUGCCCUGCACUUUGGGAUAAGCCUGGGAAACUGGGUCUAAUACCGGAUAGGACCACGGCAUUCAUGUGCUGUGGUGGAAAGCUUUUGCGGUGUGGGAUGGGCCCGCGGCCUAUCAGCUUGUUGGUGGGGUAAUGGCCUACCAAGGCGACGACGGGUAGCCGGCCUGAGAGGGUGACCGGCCACACUGGGACUGAGAUACGGCCCAGACUCCUACGGGAGGCAGCAGUGGGGAAUAUUGCACAAUGGGCGCAAGCCUGAUGCAGCGACGCCGCGUGAGGGAUGACGGCCUUCGGGUUGUAAACCUCUUUCGCCAGGGACGAAGCGCAAGUGACGGUACCUGGAGAAGAAGGACCGGCCAACUACGUG